RNAcentral lists this unclassified non-coding RNA (353 nucleotides) under fungal sp. RNAcentral describes it as "partial internal transcribed spacer region". The stretch from base 1 to 46 matches the Rfam family "Eukaryotic small subunit ribosomal RNA", at positions 1786 to 1831 of the family's 1831-position model. Lineage: Eukaryota; Fungi. The record is from RNAcentral.
AAGUCGUAACAAGGUUUCCGUAGGUGAACCUGCGGAAGGAUCAUUAACAAAACGUUUUUCCAAACGUUUGUUCAUUUUCUUCUUUCACACUCUGUGCUAUUCUUUCUCCCUAUGAGAUUCCAUUACAGGAAUCAAUUAGGUUGAAUCUAAUCUCUGGUUCUCAACUGAUUGUGAGAGUACUCCUUUCCAUUCAGUUGGAACUGCCAGAGAUUUCCCUUUCAACUUUUUUCACCUUCUGAUACUCAUAUCCCAUUUACUGAUUCAACGGUUUUCGAAUCGAAUGAAUCUGAUGUUUAUUUUUUCUCUAAAAAAUAAAUCUAAUACAACUCUUAGCAAUGGAUAUCUAGGUUCUC